AGCGAACGUUAGCGGCGCGCCUAACACAUGCAAGUCGCACGAGAAAGGGGGCAACCCCCGGUACAGUGGCGCACGGGUGAGUAACACGUGGGUGAUCUGCCCAGAAGAAGGGGAUAACCUCUCGAAAGGGGGGCUAAUACCGCAUAGGACCACCGGGGCUUUGGCUCUGUGGUGAAAGGGGGCCUCUGUUUACAAGCUCCUGCUUCUGGAUGAGCCCGCGUCCCAUCAGCUAGUUGGUAGGGUAAUGGCCUACCAAGGCUACGACGGGUAGCUGGUCUAAGAGGAUGGCCAGCCACACUGGAACUGAGACACGGUCCAGACUCCUACGGGAGGCAGCAGUGGGGAAUCUUGCGCAAUGGGCGAAAGCCUGACGCAGCGACGCCGCGUGGGUGACGAAGGCCUUCGGGUUGUAAAGCCCUGUGGGGUAGAACGAACUGGCAUCGGGCUAAUAUCCCGGUGUCUUGACGGUACUGCCUUAGCAAGCAUCGGCUAACUCUGUG
This 500-nucleotide ribosomal RNA is filed under the name uncultured organism. Its description in RNAcentral is "bacterial SSU rRNA". It matches the Rfam family "Bacterial small subunit ribosomal RNA", at positions 28 to 507 of the family's 1533-position model. The record is from RNAcentral.